GAUGAACGCUGGCGGCGUGUCUAAGGCAUGCAAGUCGAACGGACUGUUAUUUGUAGCAAUACUUAGAACAGUUAGUGGCAAACGGGUGCGUAACACAUUGGUAACCUGCCUCAAAGUCGGGCAUAAUCCCGCGAAAGUGGGACUAAUUCCACGAUGGUCAUCGAAGGUGAGAUUCCUUCGAUGUAAAGUCGCAAGACGCUUUGAGAGGGGCCUAUGGCCUAUCAGCUUGUUGGUGAGGUAACGGCUCACCAAGGCUAUGACGGGUAGGGGGUGUGAGAGCACGACCCCCCUCACUGGGACUGAGACACUGCCCAGACACCUACGGGUGGCUGCAGUCGAGAAUAUUCCCCAAUGGCCGAAAGGCUGAGGGAGCGACGCCGCGUGCAGGAAUAAGGCCU
This 398-nucleotide ribosomal RNA is filed under the name uncultured bacterium. RNAcentral's name for it is "bacterial SSU rRNA". It matches the Rfam family "Bacterial small subunit ribosomal RNA", at positions 28 to 417 of the family's 1533-position model. The record is from RNAcentral.